This 368-nucleotide ribosomal RNA is filed under the name uncultured organism. RNAcentral's name for it is "bacterial SSU rRNA". It matches the Rfam family "Bacterial small subunit ribosomal RNA", at positions 526 to 896 of the family's 1533-position model. The record is from RNAcentral.
CGGAGGGUGCAAGCGUUAUCCGGAUUCACUGGGUUUAAAGGGUGCGUAGGUGGCUUUGUAAGUCAGUGGUGAAAUCUUAGGGCUUAACUCUAAAACUGCCAUUGAUACUGCUUAGCUUGAAUCAAGUCGAGGUGGAUGGAAUAUUACAUGUAGCGGUGAAAUGCUUAGAUAUGUAAUAGAACACCGAUUGCGAAGGCAGUUCACUAGGCUUGAAUUGACACUGAGGCACGAAAGCGUGGGGAUCAAACAGGAUUAGAUACCCUGGUAGUCCACGCCCUAAACGAUGUAAACUCGACAUUAGCGAUAUACAGUUAGUGUCCAAGCGAAAGCGUUAAGUUUACCACCUGGGGAGUACGGCCGCAAGGUUA